This 208-nucleotide non-coding RNA is filed under the name Parabacteroides sp. CAG:409. Lineage: Bacteria; Pseudomonadati; Bacteroidota; Bacteroidia; Bacteroidales; Tannerellaceae. The record is from RNAcentral. RNAcentral also lists the same sequence under 1 other name.
UACAUUUGUCGUUGUAUUGGUGAAACAAAAGCUAUUUCGGCUUUUGAUUUGAAAAGGGAAUCCGGUUGAAAUCCGGAACAGUGCCCGCUACUGUGACAUCUAAAGGUGAAAAGAUAAGCACUUUGAAGCCACUAUUUCUGUAACAGAGGAAUGGGAAGGCUAUCUUUUUUGAUGGAGUCAGGAAACCUGCCAUACAAAUCAGGAAAAG